This 492-nucleotide ribosomal RNA is filed under the name uncultured bacterium. Its description in RNAcentral is "partial 16S ribosomal RNA". It matches the Rfam family "Bacterial small subunit ribosomal RNA", at positions 29 to 507 of the family's 1533-position model. The record is from RNAcentral.
AGUGAACGCUGGCGGUAGGCCUAACACAUGCAAGUCGAACGGCAGCACAGUAAGAGCUUGCUCUUACGGGUGGCGAGUGGCGGACGGGUGAGGAAUACAUCGGAAUCUACUUUUUCGUGGGGGAUAACGUAGGGAAACUUACGCUAAUACCGCAUACGACCUACGGGUGAAAGCAGGGGAUCUUCGGACCUUGCGCGAUUGAAUGAGCCGAUGUCGGAUUAGCUAGUUGGCGGGGUAAAGGCCCACCAAGGCGACGAUCCGUAGCUGGUCUGAGAGGAUGAUCAGCCACACUGGAUCUGGGUCACGGCCCAGACUCCUACGGGAGGCAGCAGUGGGCAAUAUUGGACAAUGGGCGCAAGCCUGAUCCAGCCAUACCGAGUGGGUGGAGAAGGCCUUCGGGUUGUAAAGCCCUUUUGUUGGGAAAGAAAAGCAGCAGCUUAAUACCCCGCUGUUCUGACGGUACCCAAAGAAUAAGCACCGGCUAACUUCGUG